Anguilla rostrata (American eel) is the source of this 2173-nucleotide long non-coding RNA. RefSeq lists it as uncharacterized. The record is from RefSeq and is a predicted model, not a curated record. NCBI's taxonomy places the organism in Eukaryota, Metazoa, Chordata, Actinopteri, Anguilliformes, Anguillidae. The transcript is spliced from 3 exons.
CUAUAGUCUAAUCGGCGCUCUUUCCACUUUCUGGACUAGUGUCGCGUCAAAAGAAUUCCAUUCUUCUAGACCAGGGAGUUUACAUUAAAUAGCCAUUAGGUGGCAGUAAUGGACAUUUUGAGCACCAGUUUGACAUUUUGCGAUCAGUUUGAGAAAAGCAAGGCAGAAGUUCAUUAACAGCAAACAGCCCCUUUCUAUUUUAGUUUUUCAAAUCCGAUUUUCUUCGGCUGGUGUCCUGUCCUCUCUGAAUAGCGUUGUACAUAAACCGCAAAUAUUAGCAAAGACAUUCUUUUAAUUCGUUUAUUUCAACAGAGAAGCGAAAUGUCUACAACACCGGUUCCUUGACUUAGGCCUGCAAAAUCUUUGAGUAAAACAAGUGAACGGAGUGGCUAAAACAAAAACAAACAAAACAAAAAAAAAAAAAAGAAAACUUUGAAACGACAUUGGCUGUGUGCGCACCAGAGACUAAAAAAUAGGUGCGCACACUGACCGCAUGUGUAAUUAGUUGCAGAGGGCCUAUUGAUGCGAAUAAGGCUGCAGUAGGCUAUUGGAUUCAGGAAGUUCUCUCCGCACGCCUUUUGUCGGGAUCUUGAGCAUGGACUCCAGCAGAAAAAAGGACCAAGGCUCCUCUUCUGCCUUCUCUUUACAUCUCUUCCUGGCCAGAUAUGGGAAGGUGCUGCCGGGGGUUCGUUACCUGCGGGACAACGAUGGGAUCUGGACGGGGAAAAGGCAGUUCAGGGUCCUCCUGAAUGAAGACCCGCAGGGGUUUGACGGGCUAGAGCACUCCCCAGCUUAUUUUUCCAUCAGGGCUGAGAGGGGCUACCUGUUUUCCUUCGGGCAGCCUAGUUUCUGCAGGCAGUGCCGGAGUGUCGGUCACAUGGCAGGUCCGUGUGGUCAGGCGGUGUGCAGGAACGGUGGGGAGAAGGGGCACGUGGCGGUGGCGUCCCCCAAGCCGAGGAUGUGACACAGCUGCGGGCGGGCCACGAAUUCCACGACUGCCCUGGGAAGGAGAAGGGGAGGUCCUACGCGGGCGUGGCGGCUGGUCGGGAGGGUGCUCCUGGCGAAGGCCCUCAGGACCUGCGGCCCCUGGAGGAGGUGCCGGGGGAGGUGAGAGCGGCGCAGUAGGAGGCGGCGGUGAAGCUGAGGAAUAGUUUUUCCGCGCUGGAGGGGAGCGAGGGGGAGCCUGGGCCCUCAGGGGUUACGGGCACUACGCGGGAGUUUCUCAGCGGCCGGUCUGAGGGACUGGGUGCAGGGGGAGCGGAGUCCCCCAUGAGUGAGGAGCACUCCUACAGUCCGCCGGGGUCACCCGAUGACGCCCCAUUCCUUGUCUUGGACUCUGGGGUCUGUGGAGGGGGCACACUGAUGUAAGUUUUGAAUUUUUUUCUUCUUUUUUUUUUUUUGUAUGUUUUAAUGGAUUUAAUUAUUGUCACUGUUAAUGUUAGAGGGUUGCGGGCUGGGGGGAGGGUGGUAAAACUUUUGCAGUAUGCGAGCGACACCACCCUCCUGCUGGAAGAUGAGGUCAGCCUAAAAAGGGCUUUAGCGGUUAUCAGUUUGUUUUCGAAGGCCUCAGGUUCAAAAAUAAACCUGAGUAAAUCCACGGUAAAGUAUUUUGGGGAGUGGGAGGGGAGAACAGGAGGUUUAUAUGGUUUAGCGGGGUGUCCAGGACCAGAGCCGCGGACACCGGGUCACUUGUCCCGGGCCCUGGGUCAAGGGGGGGCCCAAAAGGUUUUUUUUUUUGUCCCCAUGUAAAUCUGACGUGAAUCUAAAUCUAUGGACAACUUCAAAGCAUUAAAGUUGGGAAUGAUUACAUGUCUCAGUGUGUUGCUGUAUUUCAUCUUUUGCACACGGGGGGGGGGGGCUUUUGUGAUCAUCUUGUCCCGGGCACGAGCGAGACUCGCGUCGGACCUGUCCGGGAACGUUUAGAGUUUUGGGGGUUGAUUUUGGGACGAAGGAGGAGGUUGAGGAAAAUUGGGCGGGAAGAAUUUGUAAAAUAAAGGGUAAAUUGGGGCUGUGGCAGACGAGGCAGUCAAGUUUUGAAGGGAAAAUUUUAGUUGUUAAAGCGGAGGUUUUGCCGUCACUUUUGUUUUUGGCAUGGGUUUUUCCUCUGCCCCCGAAGGGGAGGAGGACCGUGCAGGAGAUUGUGUUUAAGUUUUUGUGGGGGGGGGGGGGGGUU